RNAcentral lists this ribosomal RNA (468 nucleotides) under uncultured bacterium. RNAcentral's name for it is "partial 16S ribosomal RNA". It matches the Rfam family "Bacterial small subunit ribosomal RNA", at positions 28 to 507 of the family's 1533-position model. The record is from RNAcentral.
GACGAACGCUGGCGGCGUGCUUAACACAUGCAAGUCGAACGGAAAGGCCCUGCUUUUGUGGGGUGCUCGAGUGGCGAACGGGUGAGUAACACGUGAGUAACCUGCCCUUGACUUUGGGAUAAGUUAAGGAAACUGGGGUUAAUACCGGAUAGGAGCCCCUGUUGCAUGGUGGGGGUUGGAAAGUUUCGGCGGUUGGGGAUGGACUCGCGGCUUAUCAGCUUGUUGGUGGGGUAGUGGCUUACCAAGGCUUUGACGGGUAGCCGGCCUGUGAGGGUGACCGGCCACAUUGGGACUGAGAUACGGCCCAGACUCCUACGGGAGGCAGCAGUGGGGAAUAUUGCACAAUGGGCGGAAGCCUGAUGCAGCAACGCCGCGUGCGGGAUGACGGCCUUCGGGUUGUAAACCGCUUUCGCCUGUGACGAAGCGUGAGUGACGGUAAUGGGUGAAGAAGCACCGGCUAACUACGUG